This is a long non-coding RNA of Symphalangus syndactylus (siamang), 17303 nucleotides long. RefSeq lists it as uncharacterized. The record is from RefSeq and is a predicted model, not a curated record. Lineage: Eukaryota; Metazoa; Chordata; Mammalia; Primates; Hylobatidae.
UUCAGCCUUUCACUUGUUUAUUAAACAAAUGGUACCUCUGGGGCAUGCAGCACAAUCACCUAGAAACUUUUCCACUCCCCACCCAAAAAGUUACCAUCAUCUCCGCAGUUGGGCUUCCUAAUAGGGGACCGGAAAACACUCAGCAUGUGUCUGAGAUCCAUCCCCCGUUACUCACCACUGUCCUGUCUUAUGCCAGACCCUAUCCCAGGGCACUGCCCCUCUCUCACUCCAGUCAGAGUCAGCCUGGCAGGAGGUCAUGACUCAGUCUGGAGUGCAGAAUUGGGCACUCUCAGUCCUGUGCCUGAGGCAUGGCACAGCAGGGCCUUCUCGGUGACCAAGGGCAGAGGCACUUUCAGGACAUGCCUACCCCUCUGCCUUUUAACCUGAGGCAGCUUAGCUCCUGUCAAACUGUCAAAUUUCCUUCCCCAGGAUUUGCUUUCUUCCAUGCCCAUCUCACAGCAGUGAAAGAUAACAUAGCCAGAACCGCCAACAACAAGGGAACAAAGGAACAGACGCUAAAAGUCCAGGUGAAGCUCAGACUAGUCAUCUAACAAUUACAUGGAAAUAAGCAGCAGCCAGUAACAAGCACGGUAAGGGGCAGGGAUGUGUCUGCUGAGCACAGUUACCAUGCACACUUAGGACUCUGCAGAAUUAGGAGGCAGUGAGGGAAGAAAGACAAGUCUGGCCCUUGGCCUGAACAGUUGCUUUCACAUCCUGACCAUGUGGAUUUCCCUGUUAACUUCCCUGCAUGUGUAAAAUAGAAACAAUAUUUUGUGUUGUAUAUUGAGAAUCAAAUGAGGUAACAUAUGUAAAACACUUGAUACAAUGCCUAGCACAUAGUAGGCAGUUGUGUACAAAUAUUUGUUCUUUUACCUGAAUAUUAAUUGAUGAAUUAAUGAAUAAAUAUAUAGUAGAAAAGAAAUAAUUUACUUGAACAUGUUACAGACUGCUUCUAAUUAUUUUGUUCUUGAUGCUUUUAUUUGGAUCUGCCUAGGGGUAGAACAUUUGCCUCCAUUUUCUAGCUCCAAAGUUGCAUUCUGGAAAACAGUCUCUUUUUAUUUACUUUUCUUGUAAUUAGGGUACACUGCCACCAGGUGGCGGUGGCUGCUCUGAGCUCAUCACCAAACUUGAGACAUGAUUUGUCUUAUUAAUAGAUCCAGAUCCACCCAUGAAUUUUCUAGAUAUUAAUUUUUCAAAGAGCAAUAAAGGCUACAUGUGAUUGAUUAUAGUAUUCUAUUAAGUGAAGGAUUUUUUAAGAGGAGGGUGCUAAGCAAUUAUUCUCCCAUGAUUUUGAACAUAGCAUGAGAGGAUGUGGUUUUAAAUUUGAGCAUAAUAGAUGACAGAUACUAGGAAGAAGUGACUGACCCACAGGAUGAUAAAAUUUUAGUAUAAACUGUUAGGAGAAUCCGUGCAGAAGACAUUUGGGAGAUGUCCUAAGAGCCAAAAUAAACCCAGGGAAGCAGUGAAGGGAGAAAAUGCUAGAACAGGAAAUCAAGAAGCCAAGGUUUCCUCUUGGCUCUGCUUCUAAUACACCAUGAGACUUUGACCAGAUCAGCAAAUUUUCCUGUGCCUCAGUGUUCCUACUACUCCUGCAGAAGAGGAUGACAGAUUAAAUUAUCUCUUAGGGCCCCCAUGACCUCAGCUAACAUGAAUCUUACACCUUUUUCUGUUGCAUCUGCCUGAUCCUCUGUGGUGAUGACAACUGCACCCAGACCAGAAUCUCAGAAGGCUUGUUACAUUUCUGUGCAAUGAGAAGCCUGACAAUCCAUGGGGCAUGAAUGUGUUGGGGCUUGAGCAUGGCCCAAGACCCACGAUUCCCUACAGCCUCCCACAUAAUCCUGGAGCUGAGCCCACCCAGGCAGCACUCCUUUUCUGCACUCCUCACACUCCUGCCCUCACCCCCUGCCUAUUCAUAAGGUCCAUCCAGGUACUGUCUCUUCUUUCUCUAUGGCUACGUAAUUCCAGUGCCUGCUCUGGGGUCAGAGACAGGAGGCAUGACUGCUUAUCUAGAGUGCAUCUUGAAAGAAAUUGCAUGAAUGAGGCCACUCAUAAUCCUCACCUUAUUUUUAAAUUUUCCUUGCAUAGAAACUGUUAAAAAUUCCACCAAAUAUCCCCCAAACACCUAGCUCUCUCAUAUUGGCUAAUUUUCAAUGUCUGGGGGCCAGAGCAGAGCAUUCUUUUGGACUUAGUUCUUUUGGCAAACCAUGCCUUUCUAGAUAUGAGCAAGAAAGCAAGGCCUAAAAAGCCCCCAGCUAAGAAUGCCUUUCUUCUCCCUACUAGGGUGCAGCCCAGAGGGCACCCAGUCUCACCAGCCCUACCCCUUCCCUGCACCAACAAGGUGUAGUUGCCCCCUCCCUGCCAUCUCCCAGGACAGACAAGGGCAUUCCGCAAAGCAUCCUGGACUCAAUGGGAACCAUCUGAUGGUCAUCCUAGAGUUUCUAGAAACAACUUCUGCAUCCAUGUGAACCCAGCAGGAUGACAAUCAAGGAUUCUUUGACAAUAAACUGGAUUUUAAGACAUCCAUGUUUAAAAUUAAUUCCAACUUAAAAAAUAUUAACUUGUUUUUUUGUAACCAAAUAGAUAAGCUGAGGUUUCAAGAUAAAAUCAUGGAAUAGAGGGUAUACCUUUUAGUUCUGUAGUCCUUAAAAGAUUAGAUUAUUUUAAUCUUUUAAAGAGAAGAUUUACAAAUAGGCCCCAAUAUGCACCUGACGCACUGGUUGCUCGUAUUCUCCAGAGCUGGGUGAGGAUCAGUCUUUUAACUGCAGGGGACAUCUUGGCAGCCAGCCGCAUGAACAACUAGCUAUCAUCUUUUUACAAUAUCAACUCCAUGUGUCAAAGCUGAGAGUGAACAUGUUAAGAUAUGGAUAUUUGCUGAUGCAUAAUUUUAAAAUGUCAUCCAAGUCAACUAAAGUCACUUAUCUAAGCUUAUCAGAAUAUUAAAAUGAAAACCAAUAAUAGUAGUCUAUUCUAUUGACAGAAAAACAAUGUCUCCUUCCUUUAGACAAACUUAUUCCAGAUUAAUCACUAGGGAAUUAAAAAAGCAGGGGAGCUCCUAUUUCUUUUCCGGUCAAUGAAUUAACAGGAAGGAGAAAGUAAAUGUCAAAGUAGCUGCAAAAUGAAAGACCUUAAGUUUCCUAUCUUGAUUACAUUUAAGCUGAUUUGUAUUUGUUGUUAAUUUAUAGAGCCUGUGUAUCACAUCUAUAACUAAAAUACUAGUGCAUUUGUUAAAAUGUGCUUCUGUUGAAUGUAAAUAUUCAUAAUAUAUGAAUAUGUGAUUUUAACCAAAUACAAUAAUUUAAGUGUCUAUUAUUUCUGUUAUCCGUUAUUUACCUAAUGAAGUGUAGUUUUUAAAACUUCACCAAAUUAUAUAUCACGUCAUGUAUACUUGUUACACUGAAGAUGGUUUGGCCUCUUAAUUUAUAAAUAUCUGCUUCAAUUUGUGUUAAUACAUUAAAUUUCUAAAAGAUUACUAUAUUUUCAGGUACAAAAUUAAAACUAGAAAAUUAAGCAAUUCUUUAAAUGCACCCUGCAAAAACUGCAUCUGAUUUAUGGAAAACAAGGAGUUUAAAUCCAUCAUUAAACAAUUUUUUAAUUGAGAAAACUGAGUAUAAUAGGUGUUUAAAUCAUGCCUUGCAUUGACUGUUGCUGUCAAAUCAGUCUGAGAAUAAUGGAAUCUAAUUGUGCCUUGAAGGGAUGCUCAGUGUGUCCACCGUGGCCACAUGGGACUGGAUGGCUGUGCCCAGCCAGAUGCCCCAUGGACAGCUCUCCAUGAGGGAGGGCCCAUCCUCUCCCUCUCUCCAGAUACCCUUUGCCUUCACUUCUGCCGUCAAAUGGAGUGUCCACAGAAGGCACAAACUACUGACUGUGAUACAGCCUUUCACUAAAACCUUAUUUAUGAAGAAGCUUGCUGACUCUUGGUAGUGUGCCAGUCAUUUCUAUGUUUGGACCAAAUGAGCUCCCAUGCCUGAAGCCUCCAAUCUAUGACCAAAGGAGCCCACAGGGCAAGGAGACAGGAGCCCUGGGAUACUGGUGAAGGAAACGACAAUGUGGGGUCAAGAAUGAAUGGAGCCCUGGGAGCCCCAGAAAUCUUGACAUCCCUUUUCUGCUCACUUCCCCAGACCUCCUCCUCCCCACUCAGGCUAUUCCCUUCACAGAGACACCCUCAAGGAUCAGGGGUCUUUCCUCUCACUGCCAACUCCAAUGUAUGUCCCACCUGGCUUGAUAAAUCAGAUGCUGGAAUAGGCUUUGGAGCCAGACUACUCCGGGCCGGAAUUUUGGCUCCUGCUUUUUUUACUUGCCUUGAGCAAAUCACUUCACCUCUCUGGGCUUCCAGGUCCUUAUCUAUAACUAGGGGAGCAGGGUUGUGGUCAAGAUUCAAAACAAUGCAAGUAAAGGCACUGGCACCGUGCCUGGAUGCACCAUCCGCAUCAGUAAAUGUCAUGUUCACAUGUGCAUAUGCCUGUGUUCCUCACUACCAACCCCUCCACAGGGAUGAAAGUAGCAAUCACGUGGGCUGGAAUACAGAAUCUACUACCAUUAAAUGCUGUCCAGCUCAGGGCAGGCAAGGGGUCUCCAGUGUUCUGACUCCAGUCCCACUGGGAUGGAGCUUGUUUCUCUGGAGUUUCCACCACCUCCAACGCUGCAUGCCAGCAUUUCUCACCUCAGGCAACAGCUCUGCUAAAGCACUACAAUUAGGAGUGACACACCUGCUCAGAUGUUAACACAGCUACUCCUGCAGUUACCUGGCCUCUGACAGAAUUGAGAACCUGAUUCCCAGACGCCUUGUGGAAGCCAAGAAAGAGACUGCCAACCCAUUACACCACAGGUCCAGCCAACUAUGAGAGUGCGCCUCUAAAUUACCCCCUGUUCACUGGACUGAGGAAGUAGCAUUUGUUUUUAUUUUCCAGGACAGACAGUCAAUCACUCAUAGGUGGCGGAAAUAAAGAUAAAUACUACCCAUUGAACUUUAAAUCAAAAUGCUAAUCCCAGGCUGACUUCUCUGUCAAGGUCUGACACUGAAAUAAUUCAGCAGGCUUUGAUUAUGCCCAAAAUUAAUGCUCUGGUGGAGAUUAUGUCUAUUAAUCACAGAUUCUGAUGGCAUAGCUGCUCAUAUUCAUCUGCUGGUGACAUCCAACACUGUUCUGAUGGCCAGGAGACCUUCACUUGGAUGUCCUCAACUUACGGAUUACAAGCCAACCUCCAACGAGGAGUAUGAGCCACAGGAUCAUAGGGUCAUCUAAGAAGUAGCUGGAGGGGGCCAUGUCCUGAACAUAAAAAGAUGUCAAAGCAUUGUUCUGUCUUUGCUAAGGACCAAGCAACAGGAACUUGGGCUGGCCAACAUGAGUCCCACAAAAGACCCAAGGGUGGCCCCUGGGGAUGAGACCCAGCUGUGAUGUCACACUGCAGACAAGACCAAACAGCCAGCAGUCAUAUUCCAAAAGACUAUCCGGAGUCAGUAGUUUGUUUUGUGUGAGGGGGAACAAUUUUUCUUAACUCUGGAGGUCUACUAGAGGGGAGAGUUAGGAAUCCAGAUCAGAAGAUCACAUGUGCGUUUGAUCUCCAAACUGCUGCACUCCUGAAAUCUCCCCUCAAUAUGACCUCUCCUGCAACAAAUAUGUAUUUAUCACUUACUAUUUACCAGGCUCUAUUCUAGGCAUUUGGGAUAUGUCUGAACAAAACAGAUCAAGGUCCUUGUUAUGGGCUUGCAUUCCAAGGAGUUUCAAAAUCCCCCUGGUCCCUGGACCUUCUCACCUCCUGCCUAGAUAGUCUUCCUCCCUGCUCUCUAGUUGGUCUAGUUAGUCUUUUUUUCCACCACACCCCAUCUUAGCUGCCUCCCCUCCACCACCCAAGUGUUAGGGCAGCUUUCUUAAAGGUAAAUUUGCCUAAAACCCUUUAGUGGCUUCCCUGCCUAAGGUUGAGAAACCAUCCUCUUAUCAUGCUCUGGGGGCCUCCGCAACUAUCUCUGCUUAUUCCUCUACACUCAACUCAGUCCACUCCCCUUACAGCACACAGUGCUCUAGAAAUACAGGGCAGACAGUAGAAUCUCAGCACACACCAUGCUGGGUGACCCUCUGCCCUUCUGUUGGCUGGUCACUUGCCAGGCACGCCCUUUAUCCUUCAUCCCUGCCCUUCACCUCCUCAUGCCUGGAGACUCAGCCUCACAGGCAGCUCCUCCAGACACCCUCAGGCCUGGCCGGGCCCCACCCUGGGGCCCCACAGUAUACUCUGCCUCCUUCAGUCCUGGCACCCAUCACACUGAAUUGUCAUCACCUGCUCAUUUGCUCGCUGCUCUUAUCUCCCAAGAGACUGAACUCCAUUUAGUCUGAAACAAUGCUUUACACAUUUUGUAGUCCCAGCAGUGUCUGGAACAUAUUAGGUGCUCAAUGAAAGUUUACUAUCCUGAACCAAUCAUGCCAUAAAACCUAACCACCCUUUAGUACAUUGUUUCCAUGGGAAAAUUGUGUUCCAAGUGCUGCCUGGCCUGUCGGGGACACAGCUCACCCACUUACAGUCCUAAUGACAAGAACAUGAGUUCAUCCAGCACACUCUAUCCUGCGCAGUCUUUCUCAUCAAAGCAGAGGGCCUGGGGACGGGGGGCAGGGUCACAGGGUCAGUGUUGCACCCCCGGCAGACCAAAGCUAAGGAGUCUAGGUGGAUUCGUCCCUAAGGCCUCACUUAUGGGGGCGCUGAGAGUCCCAUGGGACCCCAGGAUGGCUUUUGCCUGAUGUUGACUCAUGGUCUCUAGGACAUUAUCCCUGAAGUUGAGCACACAGGGCUGGGAUCAGGUCACCAAGGGCAUGCACUCCUGAAACUCAGACUUCCACCUGCAAAUAUUCAAGACUCUUCUUCUCCAACCAGAAAAAAAUUCAUUUAUAAAGCACUUUUUAAAAAACAGCAUUACUGGUCAUUGCUAAGACCUAACCAAUACCAGUACCUUCUAAAAGUGAAAAUCACAUGAACUAUGAGUGAUUGAACACAACAUUAAAUACACUGAAUUGCAGGGUUAGAAAUUUGUCUCCUUUUCAAUUAUUUAUGGUUCUCUGAUUAAGACAGAAGAAAGUUUCAGCUGGAGACUUGUAUAUCAUUAGCUGUUCUCUACCACUUGCUAAUUUCAUUUUUAAGGAAUUGAGAGCCGGUUUCAGACUCAGUCAAAAGUUAGAGUUUGAUGACAUCAACUUCAUUGUCCACAUGUUUAUUGUCACUUUCAAUUUGUGAUAAGUGAGAUUGUUUUCCAUUGACAAUGAUGGAAUCAAGUUUCCUUCUAAAAAUACAGGUAUUUAAGGUUUUCAGUGAAUUAAGGAAAAAUAUUCCAGAAUAAUGGUACAGUUUGUAUGUGGGUAAGGGGGAACUCAUAGCAGUGAUACUUGGAUGACUGAAGCCAGAAGAGGAACCGCCAUGAACAGGUCUCGGGGUGGUGCAAGGACCCAGACACCUCACUUGAACGUUUGGAAGUUUAGUUGCCUCAUGAUCUGUCCCAGAUUUCUUCUCAGUUCUGUUUGCCAUUGCCUUGCUCCCAGCCUGGCUUUGGCUCCAUUCUGUGAGGUUUUUGGUUACUGUCACAAAUGCCCUUGUGCACCCCUGUUGAAGGCCCUCUACAGCCUGCCCAGCUCUGUCUUGCAUGUUGAUGUUGGGUUGUCAGAUUCAGCAGGCCAACAAACAACAGGACACCCAGUCAAAUUUGAAUUCCUGAUAAACAAUGAAUAAUUUUCUUAGAAUAAGUAUGCCUCAAAUAUCGCAUGCAAUAUGUCAAUGUGUGUCCCACACAAUAUUUUGUGCUUAAAAUACCUAAAAGUAAAAAGUAUCUAUUGCUUACUUGGAAUUCAGAUUUAGUGGGCAAUCCUGCCCCACCCUGCCAUGACUCGGAACAAUGCCGCUCUCACAAGACGUUGGCACAACUGGACAAUUUCUGAAAGCAUCAUUGAUAUUUUUCUUUUUCAGAGUAGCAGCCCCACAUUCUCUCAAGCAUAUCAUAGAAAUAUCCAAACAGGUUCAGUUCUCCCUCAAUAGGGUUGAACCAAGGAAGAAUAUAUAAUCUCCUCUUUGAGAAAUCAGAAAAUCUCAGAAGCAUGUAUUGCUUCUGUAACCAGAGGAAAGGGCAAUAAAUGUUAUAAAACAGGGGACAAAAAGCUACUGGGCCAAGCCACAAUGGCCUGAAGGCAGGGAAAGUAGCCGUCUUUCCAUUUGUUGAGAAGCAAUGUUUAGGAAAGUGAAGGGAUCAAGAGUCAGCCUAACCACAGGGGGGAAAAGGUCUUUGAGGACAUGGCGGCAGCUUGUGGGAACUUCUAUGGAGAUGUUUGAAGGGAAGGAGGAGGCAUCCAAGGGAUGGGAUAGGCAGAAGCAAACUUCUAUUACUUUUUUGGAAUCAGAUAGGGCAGAAAGGUCCCUAAAUUUUGGGAACUUGAGGAAAGAAAGCUGGAGAAAGUGCGGAUGAGAAAGGGUGAAAGGCCAUGGCCCAAGAGUAUCUGCAGGUUCCUAAGUCUGCCCAGCUGUGGGAUUGGGCAGCUGUUCUAGAAUUGUGGGAUCAGAAUCCUGCUCAACAGGCCACAGCUCCCUUUGUGGGAAUCUGUAAUGCUGUGGGUCCACUCCUGGCCUCCCAGCUGCCCUCCUCUGCUCCAAGACAGGUUAGAGGCCACACUUGCAAGUGUUUUCAGAAAUCUGGGAAGCAAUUUGCCAGGGGCAGGACACUGGGUCCUAGUUAUACUAAUGAAUGGCCCCCUUAUGAUUCAUCUUCUCACCAGAGACUAUUCUGGAAUUUCUUUAUUGGAAGGGUUUAGGGGAAGCACUCUGGUUAGACGGAAGAUGCUAGAAGCUACAUAUUCCUGGGAGUUUGCAUGACAGUAGGAAGUCAUUGUCCAUUUCAAGAAUAGAGAGAAAGCUGACGGAGGGUAGGAGGAGUUUAAAAUCCCUUCCUCAAGGCCCUUGCUGAGGUUUCCACUUGGCAUUCAUCAUCCAGGGCUUCUACCCUUUCUUUAUUCAGCCUGUAGCACUCUUGUAUCAAGGACAAAGGUGUCAGACUCUCCAGGGCAGAAGGCAUUUCAGCAUCUUAUGGCCCACCAGACACCAGCCGGGAGGGCAAGGUUGCAUCUGUGGCCCAAGGGCAGACAGAGGUCAGGCCAGAAGGGAACCCUUGAACAUGGUCAUGCCCAUCAGCCUGCCAAGGACUCCCAGAACACUCUCCUACACAUGUUACGUUUUUGAGAGGAAAAAAUAAUAAGCACCCCCUUCCGAGGAAAGCUCAUGCUUUUUGCUAGUGGCUUCAACCAUGCUGCCUUUCUCUGAGUGCUUCCCUCACCUGCCGUGCUCCUCGGCCCAGACCCCCAUCUCCAGAUCAAAAUUCCCCAAAGCUCCCUGCAAAACUCCCCCACCAUCCUCAGGACAAUGUGCACGUAUGUUAAUAAAAAUUAAAAUUUUAAUUUAAAAUAUUUUUAAAGAUAAAAGAGAUCAGAAGAAAUAUCAUUUUGCAAUAAAGGCAAUAGGAAAAUUAGCGAAAUAUGACAUGCUACAGGUGAGAUAGCACUAUAAUAGUAUCGUAUGUGUGUUAAUUCCCUGAUUUUGAUUAUUGUACUGUGGCUAGGUUAAGAGUUUUUAUUGCUUUUAGGAAACAGACACUAAAGUAAUUAGGAGUAAAUGGGCAUAUGUCUGCAACUUAUUGUCAAUCAAUUCUGAAAAGAACAAUUAUACGUAUAUGUGGCACAUAUGUGUGCAGGGGAGGAAUGAGCACAAUGUGGUAAAAUGCUAACGCUGGAGAAAUGCAGGUGAAGGGCUGUAUUAGCUUCCCGGGGCUGCUGUAACAAAGUACCACCAACUGGUGACUUUCACAGCAGAGACUUAUCUCACAGUUCUGGAGGCAGAAAUCUGAAAUGACGGUGUUGGCAGGGUUGGUUCUUUCUGAGGGCUGUGAGGCAGAAUCUGUUCCAGGCCUCUCUCCUAGCUUCCGAUGGUUUGCUGGCAAUCUUUGGUGUUCUUUGGCUCACAGACACAUCACUCUGAUCUCUGCUGUCAUGUUCUCAUGGCACGCUCCCUGUGUGCAUGUCUGUGUCCAAAUUUCCCCUUUUUACAAGGACACCAGUCAUGCUGGAAUAGGGACCUAUCCUAUUCCAGUAUGACCUCAUCUUAAUUUAACUGCCUAUUCUACAUGGACCCUAUUUCCAAAUAAGGGCACAUUCUGAAGUUCUGGAGAUUAAGAUUUUAACAUACCUUUUUAGGGAGACACAAUUCAAUCUUUAAUAAGAAUAUACUGGAGUUGUUUGUAAUAUACUUAAAACUUUUCUCUAGGUCUGAAAUUAUUUCAAAAUAAAAAGUUUUUUGCAAAGAUAAACAGAAAGAAGCUCUAAGAAGGAUUGAAGGGAAGGUGUGAAGGGGAGGAAAGAAUUAUUGAGGGGAUGCCUUCUCAGAGACGCAGGGUUCUAAAAUCCCACCAGCAAGACAGCUUUUGAGAGGUACCGAGUUGCCUUCUCCUGAUAGGUCCUCAUGGCCCCAGGACAAAGAGAGUCCUCCACUCAACCACCCCCACCCCCAAAGUCUUACCUUGGAGAGGAAACUCUCAUGAUUUGGGUUGAAAACAUGAAUUUAUUUUUUUCCCUCCAAAACAAGCUUGGAGCAGAGCACACUUGCCCAGCAUCUCAAUAGAUGCUAGUGGUGGUUAAUUAAAAGAAUGUUGCUAAACAAAGACAGCUAAAUAAUUGUGUGUCUCACAGAAUUUUAUUCCUUAACUUGUACCUCUUAAAAAUAGCACACUCCAUAUGAGAGUUUUCCUUUUAUUCAAAUCCUGUCUGAGAAACAGUGCAUUUAUACAGCAGUACUUCAUCUACUCAGAGAAGGAAGGAGCCCCAGGAAUUGGUUAGCAUUCCCCAAAAUAGGGUAUGACCUGGGUGAUCAGAGGGCCCCAACCCUGCCAGCCUCCUCCAGCUCAUGUCUCAGCCACUCAGACCUCCUCCUUUAUCACAUCCAGGGACAGCACCCUGCAGAUACAGGAAAUCUUGGGGUGGCAUCUUUUUAACUAGGAACUUUUCAUAUUUGAGAAGCAUCACCAAACCAAUCCAGGUGUCUAUGCCCUGAUUUGGUGCCCAUACAUGCCCAGGACUUCACUGAGCAUCUCCAGGAAGCACCAUUAGAACCUUUCCCUGGCCUGCAGCCUCCUUCAAUCCCCAAGUGUCCCUCAAAGGGCCAUUCUCCAUCCUCCAUCCUUGCCAGUCACUCCCGAUCAACUGCAGAGAAUGGAAAUAGCACUAGGCAGAACAUCAGGUAGGGUCUUCACUUCUAGCUGUGCCCCAAACUCACUGCCUGACCCUGGGGCAGUAAUUCAGCCACUUGGGAUCCCAGGUUCCUGAUCUAUAAAAUGAUAGAUCGAGGCAGAUGCUAGGAAUUAACACAUAUUUUUCAAGUGUAGUGGCUCAACUAGGGACUAGGAUCCAAGAAAGUUCUAACUAACCAGGAAAACAGCAAAAGGACAGUCUCUCAGCCUAAAAUGCUCCAUUUUUUCUCAUCCCACUUGAGAAGCUGUGAGAACUAUGCCAAACUUCUCAUUACACUAUAGUCAAAGCCUAUUAAGACUCCAUGAUCUUUUUUUGUUCCUACUCACACAGUGUUGGUUUUACCUACAUCCUUUGCUGCAGUGAUUUUCACUAACCCUUCACCAAAAGCCCCAAACGCCAAACACGUGAAUUUUGCACAUUUAUUCCUACUUCGUGGAAACUAUCCAAUGGGCCACCUUCCCUCAAUGGGGCACCACAAAAGAGAAGGCAGGAGUCCAUAGCACAGGAUCUCAAAGAAGGAAGCCACCCGUGGACCAGGCAGUCCAGAAGGCUUCCUCAGUUCAGGAAAGUUUGAAAUAGGCCAAAGGGUACAGAAGGGUUCAGAUGGAAAGGGUGAAAAGUGAGGGCAGAAAAAAAAGCAUAAGCAAAGAGAUGCUGGUGAGGAGAGUGGAUUGCCCAUCUGAGGAGCAGCCCAGCAAGACAAUGAGGAUGCCAGGCAGAGAGGCGGGCAAUGCAGGGGGUAUGAAUGAAAGGCUUUGCAGGUCGGUUUCUGCCAGCCAGCACCCACUCACCCUACUUUUCCUAACUGUGUACUCUUGAUCUGCAAUUUCACCCCUCCCCAUUCUCAGUCUCUCCCUUUAAAGUGCCGCCUCCAACCCAGCUCCCCAGUGGAAGGAGCAAUCUAGGCCAAACAGUGAAUUCUAUCCCCUACACAUGUGGACUGGUUGAGAACUAAACAUGCUACACACCGAAACUGGGAUCAAUCAGAAUGACCCUCAGGACUUGUGCAGGAACUACCAAGAAAUUAGUCUCCCUGUUUCUGCUGUAGUCAGAACAUAAAUCUGAUGACCAUGAUGGGAGAGCUUUAGGCUAACCCAGAAGAAGUGGGGCUGAAGACAGAGGAACAGUCCCAAUAGCAUCUUAAAUGCAGUCAUGCCCGAAACUAGUAUUGCACAGUACUUUCAAUCACAGAAGCCCAUAAGGAGUGUGUGUGUGUGUGUGUGUGUGUGUGUGUGCGCGCGCGCACAUCUGUUGAUUUUGUUUCCUGUCACUCAAAACCAAAAUAAUUGUAAUGGGAAGCUUAGAUUAUAGAGAAGAAGAAGCACUAGACUAAGGCGUUAGAGAAACCUGGCCAGAUCCCAGCAUUACCAUAUAGUAAUUGUGUGAAUUUGUAAGUAAGCCACUUAGGUUCCACAAACCUCCAUCUCCUCAUCUUUAAAAUGGGCAUAAUAAUUCAUGAGUUGACUCAUGUGAAAGUGCAAGCUCCUUGAGUAAUGGAAUCUGUGGUGUUUGUACUUGAUGCAGGAGAUGCUGCAGCAUUCUGAGCAGAGAACUCACUGAAGGGAAAAUUAUUCCAGGCCCUGUACAGGCAGGAUGGGGCCAAUGAUCCCUGCCACCCAGGGAACCCAUUGCAUGCACUAUGCUAUCCAGGUUGAAAAGCGGUAAAAUACCCCAUGGAUGUUGCGUCAGAUGUUCAGAGAAGAGAGGUGAAGCAUCUUUCACACUGUGUACCGUGCUCACCAGGGCACGCUGAAUAAGAAGUCACCUAUGCCACCCUGGCCUUUCCCCCUACAAAACAGAAAGAUGACUCUUACCCUCUUCCCUCGGGAACAGGACAAGGAUUAACUAUGAGCUCUACAAACUACUUUGUACUCCCUGUGGAAAAGCUGCUAUAUAGCUACAAGGGGAUGAUUAAUUUUAUCUCUCUCAAUGUCUCGGUAUCAUUUGCCAAAAUGAUGAUUUAUUAUUUAGACAACCUUUAUAUUUCCAAGGGGCUUUAAAAAUCAUUUAUAGUGGAGAAUGAAAUAAAACUGAUUAGGGCCCUGAAAAACAGGAAUGGUGAAGAAAUGUACAAGGAACUGGAGGUUAUUUAUUCACAACCAGAGAAGGCAAAUGAAGGACACAGCAAGAUCCAUCGAUUGUAUGCAAAGCAGAACUGCUAAGGAGAGGCCCAUAUCUUCCCCCAUAUGAUGAUGGGAAAGAGAAACUGGAAAAGACAGCAAUGCAUCUGGACUGGUGUAGGCUAGACAUCAAGCAGAUAACAGGAAGAGCUUCCUAACUGUAUACUAGCUCUUAGCUCAGCAUCUGAAAAACAUUUUCAAUUGCUUUUUUUUUUUUUUUGAGACGGAAUCUCACUCUGUCAUCCAGGCUGGAGUGCAGUGGCACAAUCUCAGCUCACUGCAACCUCCACCUCCCGGAUUCAAGCAAUUCUCCUGCCUCAGCCUCCAGAGUAGCUGGGAUUACAGGUAUGCACCACCACACUUGGCUGAUUUUUUUUGUUGUAUUUUUAGUAGAGACGGGGUUUCACUGUAUUGGCCAGGCUGGUCUCAAACUCCUGACCUCGUGAUCCACCUGCCUCAGCCUCCCAAAGUGCUGAGAUUACAGGCGUGAGCCACCACACCCGGCCUCAGUUGCCUUUUAUAGAUGAUAGCUGAAGUGAAACAAAAUGUAGAAAGACAAUGCAGGUAUGGUAAAGGAAAGGCAUCUUCAAGGAAUGAUAAAAGAUGAGAAAGAUAGUAGAAAACUGGGAGGGGGAAAUUUAAUCCUUCUUUCAGGAAGAAAAGGAUCAUGAAAGGAUGCCAUGAGCCAAACCGUGGUGGAUGAAGGAGAUUAGAGUAUACUAAUAUGCAGAGAAAGCAUAGAAAGCUCCUAGAGGCAACAUGGGUUGAGUAAGAAUAAGCCCCACCAAACCUACUCCCUUUCCUUCUUGAAAAUUUCCCUAGGACACAAGAUCAUGGUGUACCUAGAUUUCAGCAAAGCACUUGCUGAAAUGGACCAUAUGGAGAACCGCAGGCCAGGGCAAGUACAAACUGGUGAAUUCACAGCUGGCAGAAAAAUGGUACCCAAAGAGGGUCCAACAGAAGCAGCAUCCCCUGUGGGAUAUUACUUCUGUCCUCUUUGGCAUUUUUAUCAGGCUUGGAUGAAACCCUGCAAGGGACACUCAUUCAAUCUCAAUUGCUGGGAUGCUUGGCUAAACCCAACCGGAUGAAAUGAACAGUUCUGCACACUUAGGUUCAAAACCAUCCCAUCAGCGCUACAAUAGACCUGGCCUGAUUGACAUUUAGAUGUCGUCAAACUGAAGACCAACUGCCAAGCUUCUAAAACUGACAGACAGAUGAUCGUAACAUCUCCAACCUGCCUUUUUUAGAGCAGGAUUCACCAAGAGGCAGGCCUGCAUUGGCCAUCCCCUUCCCAUUAUAGAGGUCUUCAGUCACAUGCCAGGACUGUGACCACUGACCCUGGACCUGUCUGGGUUUUAUCUUAUAUAGCAAAUUCAAGGAACUGCUUGUGUUCCCGUUAUCUAUUGAGUGUAACAAAUUACCCGCGAAAUGUACUGGCUUGAGACAGUAAUGUUUUAUUAGCUCUUAUAGUCCUGCAGGUUGGCUGGGCCCAACUGGAUAGCCCUCACUUGGGGUGGCUCAGGAGGUUGCAGUCAGAUGUUGGCAGGAGCUACAGUCAUCCAAAGCCUCUACUACUGCUUGAUGCCAAAAUGGUCCACUCACAUGGCUGGCAGUUGGUGCUGGCUGUCAGCUGGAAGCUCACCUUGGGCUGUCAAUUGAAGUACCCAUACAUGGCCCAUCCAUGCAUCUUACAACAUAGCAACUAGGUUCCCAGAGUGAGCGUUCUAACAGCUGGAGUCCCUAGAGAUCCAGGUAAAAGCUGUGAGGCUGCUUCUGACCUAGCUUUAAGAGUCCCAGACCAUCACCUCUGCCACAUUUUACUGGUCAAGCAAGUCAUCAAGUCCAAUCCAUAUUUAAGGGGAGGAAAGUUCGACUCUAGGUUGGCAAGUUCCCAUCGCCAAAGAGCUUGUUGGAUGGGAGAUAUCUGCUGUAGCAUCUUUGAAAAAUAUAACUGGCCUCUGCUUUUGACAACAGGGAGCAAUGUGAUGAGAAGGAUUCCAAUUAGCAAAAGUAUUGUCAUCAGCUGGUGAUGUGCUGCUGUGCGUCACACCCUAGGAACCCAGACCUAGGCCCUUCAAACCCAGUGUGCACCAACUGGCACUGUGCCCAGCAUAGUCAACAUCGAGUUUCUGCCUCCCAUUCUCCUUCCAGGGACCCACAUGCCUCCCAGUACUUCAGCCCCGACUGGCUCCGCCUCAUUGUCAUCUCCACCCUGACAUGCCGUAUCAAUGGGAAUUAACAGCCUCACCAUGCUGGGCACACAAGAAACUACCACUUAGUCAAUUGCAAGAGCUAGGAUUACCAAAAAAAAAAAAAAAAAGGCAUUAUCCUUUUUGUAAACAUUCAGAGAAAACUCAGAGAAAUCGUAUUUGUUUUUGAUUAUUCUAAGUUUACAAGCUGAAGCAUUCAUGGUUCGUAAAACCCAUGUAUUUGUUCCAAAUGUCAGUGUGCUUCCCUUUGUGCAGCAGCAGAUGCUGGGCAGGGAGAGGGCUGAUGCAAGGCCUUCUGCAUCUGUGCUAAUAGAUCAUGCCUUACAGCCUCCCCACCUUGGCUCACCAUUUCCCUGCUUUCUUCUCACUCUGCUGUUGCAGGCAUCUGUGACAUCAUAGCCGGUUGCCAUGGAAACUGAUGCUAUCACAGACUUCUAACUUUAGGCAAUAAAAUUUCCUUGUAUUGACAAUUUCCUGAGUGGACAUCAGCAUGGAUCUUCACGUGUACGAAGGAGAGUGGAAAACUUACCAGCUUCCUGAAUAUUUACUGAGAUCUGCAUGGCUAAUUGCCUCAUGGGAAGAGUAGAAAGAAACCUGGCUGGACCUAGAAGACACUCUGGUGUUACCCUGCCAAGCUGGGCCUUGGUUUUCCUAUCUGUCAAAUGGAAAUGAUAGUGCUUAGCCUUUGGAGUUGUUGCGAGGGGUACAUGAGAGUUUCCUGUUACGGAGCCUGAGGGGAGGCAGGUGCUCACCAGGCAGGCCUUCCUUCCCCAAGACCCCUAGACCUUAAACUUUAAGAGUUUGUGUGAUCUGUUUCAGCAUGACCCCUGGCAGACAUUAGGGUGUGGGAAUGAGAGUAACUGAGGGGACCACGAUGACAUGGACUUUGCUCCCCUCAUUGUCACCUCCCUCUUUCUCCUGUCCUUCUGUUUUCACUGUCCACUGCUCCUGCGAUCUGCCAGCUAAGCUAGUUCUACCUAGAAAGGGCUUCUCUCUAAACUGACUUCCUCCAUUAAGGAGGCAGUUGAGUCGUUACUCAAGUUCACACCUUCUUCUGAGUGAUUUAAUGGCUUUUAAGCAAAAGCAAUUAUCUGAGAGGCCUCAGGCCCAAGGGAAAGCCAGUGGAGCUUUUAAACCAGGGUCUGGGCUCUUGGAAUGUGCAGGGAAUGAGUAGAUUGGGUGGUCCUGUAGUCCUGUGGUCCUGAGGGGUCACGUACCCCUCGCAACAACUCCAAAGGCUAAGCAUUAUCAUUUCCAUUUUAUAAAUAGGAAAAUUACUUCUGCCUCCAUUUUCACCAGAUCUGAGGCAAGGUUGCAGGCCUUGCCAGUCACCCACACCUGAUCCCUGUGUGAACUGCCUGGGUUCGUUUAUGCCAAGCCAAAGCUACAAUCUGCUACCCCAACUCCCACAAGCAAUCCCAGCAUUUCUGAGAAAGACACAAAUCUCUUCCAAGCCUGCCUUCCUUCAGACAGAACUACACCAUUAGCACUCAUGAUUCUCAGGCCCUCAGAUGUGGACUGGAACUACCCAUCAGCUCUCCUGGGUCUCCAGCUUGCCAAUUCACCCUGCAGAUCCUGAGACUUGCCUGCCUUCAAAAUUAUCAUUGGGAACAGCAGGUGCAAACGUUCCGGGGCAGGAGGAAGCAUGGAGAGUUUCAAGAAAAGAGAAGGCAGCUUGGGGCCGAGUGGUGGGAGUGUACACUGUAGGUAACCCAGAC